UUGAUGGAGAUGGUCUUAGU
Molecule: non-coding RNA, 20 nt
Filed under: Arabidopsis thaliana (thale cress)
Lineage: Eukaryota; Viridiplantae; Streptophyta; Magnoliopsida; Brassicales; Brassicaceae
Source: RNAcentral